UUGAACGCUGGCGGCAUGCUUUACACAUGCAAGUCGAACGGCAGCGGGGGCUUCGGCCUGCCGGCGAGUGGCGAACGGGUGAGUAAUGCAUCGGAACGUACCCAGUCGUGGGGGAUAACUACGCGAAAGCGUGGCUAAUACCGCAUACGCCCUGAGGGGGAAAGCGGGGGACCUUCGGGCCUCGCGCGAUUGGAGCGGCUGAUGUCGGAUUAGCUGGUUGGUGGGGUAAAGGCCUACCAAGGCGACGAUCCGUAGCUGGUCUGAGAGGAUGAUCAGCCACACUGGGACUGAGACACGGCCCAGACUCCUACGGGAGGCAGCAGUGGGGAAUUUUGGACAAUGGGCGCAAGCCUGAUCCAGCAAUGCCGCGUGCAGGAAGAAGGCCUUCGGGUUGUAAACUGCUUUUGUCAGGGAAGAAAUCCUCUGGGUUAAUACCUCGGGGGGAUGACGGUACCUGAAGAAUAAGCACCGGCUAACUACGU
Molecule: ribosomal RNA, 482 nt
Filed under: uncultured bacterium
Lineage: Bacteria
Description: bacterial SSU rRNA
Rfam family: Bacterial small subunit ribosomal RNA
Source: RNAcentral